AUGGACAUGAGGGCCCCUGCCCAGCUCCUGGGUCUGCUGUUGCUCUGGCUCCCAGGUGCCAGCUGUGCCACUCAGAUGACACAAUCUCCAUCCACCCUGUCUGUAUCACUAGGAGACACAGUCACCAUCACUUGUCGGGCCAGUCAGGGCAUUAACAAUAUUUUAGACUGGUAUCAGCAGAAAGCAGGAAAACCUCCUAAGCGACUGAUCUAUGGGGCAUCUAAUUUGGACAGUGGGGUCCCCUCGAGGUUCAGAGGCAGUGGGUCUGGGACAGAUUAUUCUCUGACCAUCAGUGGCCUGCAGGCUGAAGAUGUUGCAGAUUAUUACUGUCUGCAGUAUGACAGUUUCCCUCCACAGUGUUACAAGUCAUAG
Otolemur garnettii (small-eared galago) is the source of this 372-nucleotide non-coding RNA. Lineage: Eukaryota; Metazoa; Chordata; Mammalia; Primates; Galagidae. The record is from the annotation of a RefSeq genome assembly.